RNAcentral lists this microRNA precursor (65 nucleotides) under Danio rerio (zebrafish). Its description in RNAcentral is "Dre-Mir-15-P2a1_pre stem-loop". It matches the Rfam family "mir-16 microRNA precursor family", at positions 10 to 75 of the family's 82-position model. From Rfam's summary of the family: The hairpin precursors (represented here) are predicted based on base pairing and cross-species conservation -- their extents are not known. In this case the mature sequence is excised from the 5' arm of the hairpin. The record is from RNAcentral. Lineage: Eukaryota; Metazoa; Chordata; Actinopteri; Cypriniformes; Danionidae.
UAGCAGCACGUAAAUAUUGGAGUCAAAGCACUUGCGAAUCCUCCAGUAUUGACCGUGCUGCUGGA